CAACUUGAGAGUUUGAUCCUGGCUCAGAAUGAACGCUGGCGGCAGGCCUAACACAUGCAAGUCGGACGGGUGCCUUCGGGUGCUAGUGGCGGACGGGUGAGUAACGCGUUGAGAAUCUGCCAUCAGGUCUGGACAACCACUGGAAACGGUGGCUAAUACUGGAUGUGCCCUUAGGGGUGAAAGGUUA
Molecule: ribosomal RNA, 187 nt
Filed under: Nostoc sp. HG1
Lineage: Bacteria; Bacillati; Cyanobacteriota; Cyanophyceae; Nostocales; Nostocaceae
Description: partial 16S ribosomal RNA
Rfam family: Bacterial small subunit ribosomal RNA
Source: RNAcentral